AUUGAUUUUUUGUUGUAGAUGAAUGAAUGGGAGGGGUUGGAGUUGAGAAUGGUGUUUUUCGGUAUUGGGGUGCAGAGAUUCUAGGGCUAGUUUUGGAAGAACUGGUUUUUGUAUAUCAAUUGCUGACAAAAUGAAUUCAGAUGCUAACCGUGCUGGCGGACAAGUAGAAAGGGAUAUUGAGCAGGCCAUAACUGCUUUAAAGAAGGGUGCAUACUUGCUCAAGUAUGGAAGAAGGGGGAAACCGAAGUUUUGUCCCUUUCGGUUGUCAAAUGAUGAGUCUGCUUUAAUAUGG
RNAcentral lists this unclassified non-coding RNA (292 nucleotides) under Hevea brasiliensis (rubber tree). The record is from RNAcentral. Lineage: Eukaryota; Viridiplantae; Streptophyta; Magnoliopsida; Malpighiales; Euphorbiaceae.